RNAcentral lists this ribosomal RNA (701 nucleotides) under Pannonibacter indicus. Its description in RNAcentral is "bacterial SSU rRNA". It matches the Rfam family "Bacterial small subunit ribosomal RNA", at positions 53 to 805 of the family's 1533-position model. The record is from RNAcentral. Lineage: Bacteria; Pseudomonadati; Pseudomonadota; Alphaproteobacteria; Hyphomicrobiales; Stappiaceae.
ACAUGCAGUCGAACGCCCUGGUGACGGGGAGUGGCAGACGGGUGAGUAACACGUGGGAACAUACCCUUUGGUGCGGAACAACAGCUGGAAACGGCUGCUAAUACCGCAUGCGCCCUACGGGGGAAAGAUUUAUCGCCGAAGGAUUGGCCCGCGUCUGAUUAGCUAGUUGGUGGGGUAAUGGCUCACCAAGGCGACGAUCAGUAGCUGGUCUGAGAGGAUGAUCAGCCACACUGGGACUGAGACACGGCCCAGACUCCUACGGGAGGCAGCAGUGGGGAAUAUUGGACAAUGGGCGCAAGCCUGAUCCAGCCAUGCCGCGUGAGUGAUGAAGGCCCUAGGGUUGUAAAGCUCUUUCAGCGAGGAGGAUAAUGACGUUACUCGCAGAAGAAGCCCCGGCUAACUUCGUGCCAGCAGCCGCGGUAAUACGAAGGGGGCUAGCGUUGUUCGGAAUCACUGGGCGUAAAGCGCACGUAGGCGGACUUUUAAGUCAGGGGUGAAAUCCCGGGGCUCAACCUCGGAACUGCCUUUGAUACUGGGAGUCUGGAGUCCGGGAGAGGUGAGUGGAACUCCGAGUGUAUAGGUGAAAUUCGUAGAUAUUCGGAAGAAACCCAGUGGCGAAGGCAGUCAUUGGCCCGGUACUGACGCUGAGGUGCAAAUCGUUGGGAGCAAACAGGAAUAAUACCCUGUAGCCCACGCCGUAA